CAAGAAACUUACAAUGAUUCUUAAUGUUUUCUGAGUACUUGGCUUUAUUUACUGACUAAGGAAGCAGCAUAAUAAGCAAAAGAAUUAAAGACAUGAGGCAAGAGAAAAAAAGCAAAACCUGAUUUCCAUCAAUACCAUUCCUUAUACCCUUCUACUGUCAGGCCAAAAACCAAGAAUGAUAUGUGACAAUUUUUCCCAGUGUUGGUCAAAACUUUUUUGUCUUGAAGGAAUACGAUAAAAUAAACCAUGACCCUACUGAAAAAUGAGAUAUUCUAUUAAUUCUGUGAAGAAGAAAUGCAUACAUCAGAAAUGAAUGGAUAGAGAGACUGGGAGUUGUCGUCCCUUUUUAAAGAAUCUUUCAAAACUUCAUUGAAGACCUCAUUCAACAUCCAACAAACAUUUAUCUUUUUACAAUUUGUUGUACUGCCUUCUAGAGAAGUUCAGUUGUACAGAAUUCAUGGUGAUAUUAAGACGGAACAAAGAAAAGAGAAAACUGCAAGGGCUGAGAGAACCUGGUCAAUGGUAAAAGAGUGUCCUAAUAAUAA
Long non-coding RNA from Pantherophis guttatus, 545 nucleotides. RefSeq lists it as uncharacterized. Lineage: Eukaryota; Metazoa; Chordata; Lepidosauria; Squamata; Colubridae. The record is from RefSeq and is a predicted model, not a curated record.